RNAcentral lists this ribosomal RNA (252 nucleotides) under uncultured bacterium. RNAcentral describes it as "partial 16S ribosomal RNA". It matches the Rfam family "Bacterial small subunit ribosomal RNA", at positions 524 to 776 of the family's 1533-position model. The record is from RNAcentral.
UACGUAGGUGGCAAGCGUUGUCCGGAUUUAUUGGGUUUAAAGGGUGCGUAGGCGGCCCUGUAAGUCAGUGCUGAAAUAUCCCGGCUUAACCGGGAGGGUGGCAUUGAUACUGCAGGGCUUGAGUACAGAUGAAGUAGGCGGAAUUGACGGUGUAGCGGUGAAAUGCAUAGAUAUCGUCAAGAACACCGAUAGCGAAGGCAGCUUACUAGCUGUAACUGACGCUGAGGCACGAAAGUGUGGGGAUCAAACAGG